UGGGGAAUCUUAGACAAUGGGGGAAACCCUGAUCUAGCCAUGCCGCGUGAUCGAUGAAGGCCUUAGGGUUGUAAAGAUCUUUCAGUUGGGAAGAUAAUGACGGUACCAACAGAAGAAGCCCCGGCUAACUCCGUGCCAGCAGCCGCGGUAAUACGGAGGGGGCUAGCGUUAUUCGGAAUUACUGGGCGUAAAGCGCACGUAGGCGGACUGGAAAGUUGGAGGUGAAAUCCCAGGGCUCAACCUUGGAACUGCCUUCAAAACUCCCAGUCUUGAGUUCGAGAGAGGUGAGUGGAAUUCCGAGUGUAGAGGUGAAAUUCGUAGAUAUUCGGAGGAACACCAGUGGCGAAGGCGGCUCACUGGCUCGAUACUGACGCUGAGGUGCGGAAGCGUGGGGAGCAAACA
This 402-nucleotide ribosomal RNA is filed under the name uncultured Gemmobacter sp. Its description in RNAcentral is "bacterial SSU rRNA". It matches the Rfam family "Bacterial small subunit ribosomal RNA", at positions 355 to 774 of the family's 1533-position model. Lineage: Bacteria; Pseudomonadati; Pseudomonadota; Alphaproteobacteria; Rhodobacterales; Paracoccaceae. The record is from RNAcentral.